AACGAACGCUGGCGGCAUGCCUAACACAUGCAAGUCGAACGAGACCUUCGGGUCUAGUGGCGCACGGGUGCGUAACGCGUGGGAACCUGCCUUUAGGUUCGGAAUAACUCAGAGAAAUUUGAGCUAAUACCGGAUAAUGUCUUCGGACCAAAGAUUUAUCGCCUUUAGAUGGGCCCGCGUUGGAUUAGCUAGUUGGUGGGUAAAGGCCUACCAAGGCGACGAUCCAUAGCUGGUCUGAGAGGAUGAUCAGCCACACUGGGACUGAGACACGGCCCAGACUCCUACGGGAGGCAGCAGUGGGGAAUAUUGGACAAUGGGCGAAAGCCUGAUCCAGCAAUGCCGCGUGAGUGAUGAAGGCCUUAGGGUUGUAAAGCUCUUUUACCCGAGAUGAUAAUGACAGUAUCGGGAGAAUAAAGCUCCGGCUAACUCCGUGCCAG
Molecule: ribosomal RNA, 437 nt
Filed under: uncultured bacterium
Lineage: Bacteria
Description: bacterial SSU rRNA
Rfam family: Bacterial small subunit ribosomal RNA
Source: RNAcentral